Molecule: non-coding RNA, 207 nt
Organism: Chelonoidis abingdonii (Abingdon island giant tortoise)
Lineage: Eukaryota; Metazoa; Chordata; Testudines; Testudinidae
Source: RefSeq, a predicted model, not a curated record
CUAAUACUUGGAAAUGGCAGAGAUGCUUAAUGCCUUCUUUGUUUCGGUCUUCACUGAGAAGUCUGAAGGAAUGUCUAACAUAGUGAAUGCUUAUGGGAAGGGGGUAGGUUUAAAAGAUAAAAUAAAAAAAGAACAAAUAAAAGUUAACUUAGAAAAGAUAGAUGCCUGCAAGUUACCAGGGCCUGAUGAAAUGCAUCCUAGACUACU